This 253-nucleotide ribosomal RNA is filed under the name uncultured bacterium. RNAcentral describes it as "partial 16S ribosomal RNA". It matches the Rfam family "Bacterial small subunit ribosomal RNA", at positions 524 to 776 of the family's 1533-position model. The record is from RNAcentral.
UACGUAGGGGGCAAGCGUUGUCCGGAAUCAUUGGGCGUAAAGAGCGUGUAGGCGGCCCGGUAAGUCCGCUGUGAAAGUCCAGGGCUCAACCCUGGGAUGCCGGUGGAUACUGUCGGGCUCGAGUCCGGAAGAGGAGUGUGGAAUUCCUGGUGUAGCGGUGAAAUGCGCAGAUAUCAGGAGGAACACCAAUGGCGAAGGCAGCUUACUAAGGAGUAACUGACGCUGAGGCACGAAAGUGUGGGGAUCAAACAGG